Molecule: ribosomal RNA, 434 nt
Filed under: uncultured Ruminococcus sp.
Lineage: Bacteria; Bacillati; Bacillota; Clostridia; Eubacteriales; Oscillospiraceae
Description: partial 16S ribosomal RNA
Rfam family: Bacterial small subunit ribosomal RNA
Source: RNAcentral
ACGGAAGGCAGCAGUGGGGGAUAUUGCACAAUGGGCGCAAGCCUGAUGCAGCGAUGCCGCGUGAGGGAAGAAGGUUUUCGGAUUGGAAACCUCUGUCAACAGGGACGAAAAUGACGGUACCUGUGAAGGAAGCUCCGGCUAACUACGUGCCAGCAGCCGCGGUAAUACGUAGGGAGCAAGCGUUAUCCGGAAUUACUGGGUGUAAAGGGAGUGUAGGCGGGACUGUAAGUCAGAUGUGAAAUAUGCCGGCUCAACUGGCAGACUGCAUUUGAAACUGCGGUUCUUGAGUGAAGUAGAGGUAAGCGGAAUUUCUCGUGUAGCGGUGAAAUGCGUAGAUAUUAGGAGGAACAUCAGUGGCGAAGGCGGCUUACUGGGCUUUAACUGACGCUGAGGCUCGAAAGCGUGGGGAGCAAACAGGAUUAGAUACCCUGGUA